CCUACGGGUGGCUGCAGUGGGGAAUAUUGGACAAUGGGCGAAAGCCUGAUCCAGCCAUGCCGCGUGUGUGAAGAAGGCCUUCGGGUUGUAAAGCACUUUCAGUGGGGAAGAAAGCCUUGGGGCUAAUACCCUCGAGGAAGGACAUCACCCACAGAAGAAGCACCGGCUAACUCCGUGCCAGCAGCCGCGGUAAUACGGAGGGUGCGAGCGUUAAUCGGAAUUACUGGGCGUAAAGCGCGCGUAGGCGGUCUGAUAAGCCGGUUGUGAAAGCCCCGGGCUCAACCUGGGAACGGCAUCCGGAACUGUCAGGCUAGAGUGCAGGAGAGGAAGGUAGAAUUCCCGGUGUAGCGGUGAAAUGCGUAGAGAUCGGGAGGAACACCAGUGGCGAAGGCGGCCUUCUGGACUGACACUGACGCUGAGGUGCGAAAGCGUGGGUAGCAAACAGGAUUAGAUACCCGAGUAGUC
RNAcentral lists this ribosomal RNA (465 nucleotides) under Vreelandella stevensii. RNAcentral describes it as "partial 16S ribosomal RNA". It matches the Rfam family "Bacterial small subunit ribosomal RNA", at positions 338 to 795 of the family's 1533-position model. Lineage: Bacteria; Pseudomonadati; Pseudomonadota; Gammaproteobacteria; Oceanospirillales; Halomonadaceae. The record is from RNAcentral.